This 22-nucleotide microRNA is filed under the name Panagrellus redivivus. RNAcentral describes it as "prd-miR-7940c-3p". The record is from miRBase by way of RNAcentral. Lineage: Eukaryota; Metazoa; Nematoda; Chromadorea; Rhabditida; Panagrolaimidae.
UGACUGGAAUUGCGUCUUUCGU